This is a long non-coding RNA of Bos taurus (domestic cattle), 1542 nucleotides long. The record is from Ensembl. NCBI's taxonomy places the organism in Eukaryota, Metazoa, Chordata, Mammalia, Artiodactyla, Bovidae.
GACCCAAGGCCAUAACUAGAUUUUUUUUUUUAAUCUGGCCAUCCAGCCUUCCACCCCGGACUGGACCUUUUCUGCGUCGUACUAGAAAGGCCUGGGGGAAAGAAUAAACCCUGCUACCCUGGCUUCCCCCAAAGUGUCCACAUUUUUGAAUCUUCCCUUUCCACUGACAAUCCUGAGACCUCCUUCCUCCCCGUUUAACACACCAGUGUUUUUUAGCAAUUAAGGCGAGAAGGGGGUGGGGAUAAAGAUAAGCCAAUUUUUUUUUCCGCCAUGCAAGUGUGAAAGAUAAGAUAAGGCUAAGCUGAGGCAAAGCGGCUGCUUACAACCUCCCCUCAGCGAUUCUGAUCGGUCACUUCUUAUCUCGCAAAAAUGCUCCUUUCGAAAACUGCAUCAAAAAAAGAAAAAGGCUGAAGGAAAGCAUUUUCAUUUGGAAGUGACAUUUAAAACCCACCUCCUCUACACCAGCAACCCCCUCCUCAUCCGCGGGACUCCCCAGGAAAAGUCGCACCUCGACUACAGGGUUUCAGGCUUUCUCGUGGGGGGCAGGAUUACUAGUGUAAUUAGGCUGAAUAAAACCAGGGAUGCGUGAUCAGGAAUUAUCCUGCCUCCAACCCCAAGCUCGCGGCCGGGUUUUCCUUCUCUGAGUUCCUGAUCGGUGUUUGUGUUUCAUCGUCUCGCUCGUGUGUUGAAACUAAACAGGCCCCUGUAAAGGAAGGAAAAGGCGUCAUGAGCCCCGGAACCUGAGAACCCUCAGCCGAACCGGACUCUCGAGGAGCCUUAUAAAAUCCUUUUCUCGCACAAAAAUCUCACCAAGGGGUUUCCGGAAGACUUUGUUGAGGGAGGUUUCGGUAUUGAACUCCAGGCCUGCAGAGCGGCCUGUAAAUUUCCCCCAGCCCAGCCGCUGGCCAGAUCGCGAACAUCCAGGCAGGCACCCCAGGCCGAGUUGAUGAGCCUCUGCGCCCACCUCCGGCUUAGAGCUCCCGAGAUCCCACCUCUUCACCCCUCAUCCCGGGUUUGCACCUCGGCGCCGGGCGCACACUGAGUCGGCCCCCUCCGGGCGCGACCUAAAGCCCGGGGCUAGCCGCGGCCGGAUAGUCCCCGGGGAGUCGAAACCGCCGAGCGGGGAAACCCCUUCUCUCGUCCUUCCCCGAAAAGCCUGGCCGCGGCGUAGGCGCCGAGCGAGCGGGCAUCCGCUGACAGCCGGGCCUCACUUCCAGACCCCCAUACCAACUGCAGAACUGGCAUCUCAAUCCAUCCAUCUUCGACCAGCUUCAUGAUAACAAUAGUGAACACCUGCAGAGUGCUGGCAACGCUCUUCUAAGGACUUUCUAGAAAUUAACGAUUAAUCCUUACAACUUCCCUCUCAGGCAGGUAGAAUCAUUAUCCACAUUUUAUGAAUGAGGAAACCAAGUAGGAGAAGUCAUAGAACACUUCCAAAGUCACUCGGAAAAUGGUGGAGCCACGACAGAGGGUGAGAUGGUUGGAUGGCAUCACCGACUCAAUGGACAUGAGUUUGAGCAAACUCCGGGAGAUGGUGAAGGA